AAACGGGUUAAUAUUCCCGUACUUGGUGUUACUGCGAAGGGGGGACGGAGAAGGCUAUGUUGGCCGGGCGACGGUUGUCCCGGUUUAAGCGUGUAGGUGUGUGUUCCAGGUAAAUCCGGUUCACUUUAACACUGAGGCGUGAUGACGAGGCACUACGGUGCUGAAGCAACAAAUGCCCUGCUUCCAGGAAAAGCCUCUAAGCAUCAGGUAACAUCAAAUCGUACCCCAAACCGACACAGGUGGUCAGGUAGAGAAUACCAAGGCGCUUGAGAGAACUCGGGUGAAGGAACUAGGCAAAAUGGUGCCGUAACUUCGGGAGAAGGCACGCUGACAC
RNAcentral lists this ribosomal RNA (334 nucleotides) under Salmonella enterica. Its description in RNAcentral is "partial 23S ribosomal RNA". It matches the Rfam family "Bacterial large subunit ribosomal RNA", at positions 1422 to 1757 of the family's 2925-position model. Lineage: Bacteria; Pseudomonadati; Pseudomonadota; Gammaproteobacteria; Enterobacterales; Enterobacteriaceae. The record is from RNAcentral. RNAcentral also lists the same sequence under 1 other name.